CGGAAUCUGCCUAUUUGUGGGGGAUAACGUAGGGAAACUUACGCUAAUACCGCAUACGACCUACGGGUGAAAGCGGAGGACCUUCGGGCUUCGCGCAGAUAGAUGAGCCGAUGUCGGAUUAGCUAGUUGGCGGGGUAAAGGCCCACCAAGGCGACGAUCCGUAGCUGGUCUGAGAGGAUGAUCAGCCACACUGGAACUGAGACACGGUCCAGACUCCUACGGGAGGCAGCAGUGGGGAAUAUUGGACAAUGGGCGAAAGCCUGAUCCAGCCAUGCCGCGUGGGUGAAGAAGGCCUUCGGGUUGUAAAGCCCUUUUGUUGGGAAAGAAAAGCAGUCGGUUAAUACCCGAUUGUUCUGACGGUACCCAAAGAAUAAGCACCGGCUAACUUCGUGCCAGCAGCCGCGGUAAUACGAAGGGUGCAAGCGUUACUCGGAAUUACUGGGCGUAAAGCGUGCGUAGGUGGUUUGUUAAGUCUGAUGUGAAAGCCCUGGGCUCAACCUGGGAAUUGCAUUGGAUACUGGCAGGCUAGAGUGCGGUAGAGGGUAGUGGAAUUCCCGGU
Molecule: ribosomal RNA, 559 nt
Filed under: uncultured bacterium
Lineage: Bacteria
Description: bacterial SSU rRNA
Rfam family: Bacterial small subunit ribosomal RNA
Source: RNAcentral